This 490-nucleotide ribosomal RNA is filed under the name uncultured bacterium. RNAcentral's name for it is "partial 16S ribosomal RNA". It matches the Rfam family "Bacterial small subunit ribosomal RNA", at positions 28 to 507 of the family's 1533-position model. The record is from RNAcentral.
GAUGAACGCUAGCGAUAGGCUUAACACAUGCAAGUCGAGGGGCAGCAUGGUCUUAGCUUGCUAAGGCUGAUGGCGACCGGCGCACGGGUGCGUAACGCGUAUGCAACUUGCCUCACAGAGGGGGAUAACCCGUCGAAAGACGGACUAAUACCGCGUACACUCUAUGUUGGGCAUCCAAUGUAGAGGAAAUGAAAUUCGCUGUGAGAUAGGCAUGCGUCCCAUUAGCUAGUUGGUGAGGUAACGGCUCACCAAGGCGACGAUGGGUAGGGGAACUGAGAGGUUGAACCCCCACACUGGUACUGAGACACGGACCAGACUCCUACGGGAGGCAGCAGUGAGGAAUAGUGGUCAAUGGGCGAGAGCCUGAACCAGCCAAGUCGCGUGAAGGAUGACUGUCUUAUGGAUUGUAAACUUCUUUUAUACGGGAAUAACAAGAGUCACGCGUGGCUCCCUGCAUGUACCGUAUGAAUAAGCAUCGGCUAACUCCGUG